This 395-nucleotide ribosomal RNA is filed under the name uncultured bacterium. RNAcentral describes it as "bacterial SSU rRNA". It matches the Rfam family "Bacterial small subunit ribosomal RNA", at positions 144 to 518 of the family's 1533-position model. The record is from RNAcentral.
UAACAUCCGGAAACGGGUGCUAAUACCGCAUAGUUUUCUUGAUCGGCAUGAUCGGGAAAGGAAAGACGGCCUUUGUGCUGUCGCUUAUGGAUGGACCCGCGGCGUAUUAGUUAGUUGGUGAGGUAACGGCUCACCAAGACGAUGAUACGUAGCCGACCUGAGAGGGUGAUCGGCCACAUUGGGACUGAGACACGGCCCAAACUCCUACGGGAGGCAGCAGUAGGGAAUCUUCCGCAAUGGACGAAAGUCUGACGGAGCAACGCCGCGUGAGUGAAAAGAAGGUUUUUCGGGAUCGUAAAACUCUGUUGUCAGAGAAGAACAAGUUGGAGAGUAACUGCUCCAGCCUUGACGGUAUCUGACCAGAAAGCCACGGCUAACUACGUGCCAGCCGCCGC